Molecule: long non-coding RNA, 1992 nt
Organism: Scylla paramamosain (green mud crab)
Lineage: Eukaryota; Metazoa; Arthropoda; Malacostraca; Decapoda; Portunidae
Exons: 2
Source: RefSeq, a predicted model, not a curated record
GGGAGCAGAAGUGUGAAAGUGGUGAGUUAAAGGGAGAAGUGUGAAAGUGGUGAUUUAAAGGAAACAGAAGUGUGAAAGUGGUGAUUUUAAGGGAGCAGAAGUGUGAAAGUGGUGAUUUUAAGGGAGCAGAAGUGUGGAAGUGAUGAUUUAAAGGGAGCAGAAGUGUGAAAGUGGUGAUUUUAAGGGAGCAGAAGUGUGAAAGUGGUGAUUUUAAGGGAGCAGAAGUGUGAAAGUGGUGAUUUUAAGGGAGCAGAAGUGUGAAAGUGGUGAUUUUAAGAGAGCAGAAGUGUGAAAGUGGUGAUUCUAAGGGAGCAGAAGUGUGAAAGUGGUGAGUUAAAGGGAGAAGUGUGAAACUGGUGAUUUAAAAGGAGCAGAAAUGUGAAAGGGAUAAUUUAAAGGGAGCAGAAGUGUGAAAGUGGUGAUUUUAAGGGAGCAGAAGUGUGAAAGUGGUGAUUUUAAGGGAGCAGAAGUGUGAAGGUGCCGACUCUUACCAGAAUGCAUAGUUAGUGACGAGAUCCCGUGAAUAAGUGAGUUUGCGUUACCUGCGUGUUCUGCCAGGUGUGGGCGGAGGUGUAAAGGUAAGUGGAUGAGGUGGAGAGGCUGUGUGGAGGUGGGUGGUGGCUGGCUAUGGAGGUAAGUUAAUUGUGUGUGUGUUUAAAAGUGGAUGAGUGGGUGGCUAUAUUUGCAUGUGGCGAUGAUGUGGUGGGUGUAGGUGGAUGAGAGGUGGAAGGGAGGUAGUCUGGGUGGCUGUGGGUAAGUGGAAGUGGCUGGUUUAGAAGUGGAUUGGGUAGUGGAGGAGGAAGGGAUAAAAAUAGCUGAGUGUGAAGUGAAGUGGAUGAAUUUAUGUGGAUGUGAGUGAAUGUGGUGGAGGAAGUGGAGUGUUGAGGCUGAAAUGUUUGUUUGACGUGAGUGUGGUGAGGCGUGGGAUCAAUGUGGAGUAUAUUUAAGGUGGAAUUAGAUGCAGUGUGGAGAGAGAGAGAGAGAGAGAGAGAGAGAGAGAGAGAGAGAGAGAGAGAGAGAGAGAGAGAGAGAGAGAGGAAUUACAAGAUAUUAAUAUGAUAUGAGAUUUUGAAGCGUGGGAUGAAGUGGAGGAGGAUAUUUGCACAUUAAAUCGAAGUGGAGUUUAUUAAAAGUGGAAUUACGUGUCAGGAGUGUGGAGUGGAAGCUGGUGGAGGUCGAGGGAGGUAAAAUGUGGAGUUACUGAAUAUUAAUGUUAAAUUAGAGUGGGAAUUUACUUCAUGUGUAAUUAAAAGUUGGUAGUAAAUUUGGAAAGUGGAAGAAAAUAAUGAAGUUUAGUAAAUAUGAGAGAGAGAGAGAGAGAGAGAGAGAGAGAGAGAGAGAGAGAGAGAGAGAGAGAGAGAGAGAGAGAGAGAGAGAUAAAAAGGAUAAAUAAAGAAGAUAAGGAACAAGGCUAUAAUGGAAAAAACACAAAGGAAAAUAAAGAAAAGCGGAAAAAAUAAAAAAAAUAAGAAAAGAUAAAAAAAUAAUGAUGAAAAAAAAAAAAAAAAAAAAAAGACGAGAAAAGAGACACAUUCCUUUAUUUACCAAACCAUUACAUAGAGUGGAGUAUGAAGUGGAUGCUGGUGGAGACAGACAGAGUUACAGUGUGGAAUUACAAAAUGCUCGUGCAAAAUGAGAAUCGGGAAGCGUGGGAUCAAAGUGGAGUAUAUUUAACGUGGAAUUAGGUGUGAGGGUGGAGUGGAGGGUGGAGUGGAGGGUGGAGGGGAGUGGUGUGGUAAUGCAUGACCUCAUUCCUCUAUUAAGGGAAUGAGACGACCUCACCCAGAUGGCAGCCUCCCACGGGUCUCUUCCUCCUCCUCCUCCUCCUCCUCCUCCUCUAAUUGGAAGGAGAGUAAGAGUAGGAAUCGAGUAAGUAUAACUCUUUCUACACCCAAACAUGUAGUUAAUUGAAUCAGGUUCCCAAUUAGGUGGUGGUAGUAGUAGUAGUAGUAGUAGUAGUAGUAGUAGUAGGAGGAGGAGGAGGAGGAGGAG